AAUUUUUGACAAUGGGGGAAACCCUGAUCCAGCCAUCUCGCGUGUAUGAUGAAGGCCUUCGGGUUGUAAAGUACUUUUGGCAGAGAAGAAAAGGUAUCUCCUAAUACGAGAUACUGCUGACGGUAUCUGCAGAAUAAGCACCGGCUAACUAAGUGCCAGCAUCCGCGGUAAUACGUAGGGUGCAAGCGUUAAUCGGAAUUACUGGGCGUAAAGCGUGUGUAGGCGGUUCGGAAAAAAAGAUGUGCAAUCCAAGAGCUCAACCUUGGAACUGCAUUUUUAACUGCCGAGCUAGAGUAUGUCAGAGGGGGGUAGAAUUCCACGUGUAGCAGUGAAAUGCGUAGAUAUGUGGAGGAAUACCGAUGGCGAAGGCGACUCUCUGGACUGCAACUGACGCUGAGGCACGAAAGCGUGGGUAGCGAACAGG
Molecule: ribosomal RNA, 424 nt
Filed under: uncultured bacterium
Lineage: Bacteria
Description: partial 16S ribosomal RNA
Rfam family: Bacterial small subunit ribosomal RNA
Source: RNAcentral